GUUUUCAAAGGUCAAAGCUUGCAAGGAAGCCGGAAAGACAUACGUAUAUGGGCAACCACCAUUUCUCUCUAAAAUGGACGGUUCAGAUGGGUUGAUGCAACUCUAAAUAUAUACUUCUGCACAUAAAGGUAAACGAGAAAAUGGUGUUUUUUUAAGAAAAAAAUAUUUUCAUUAAUGGCAUUCAUAUUUCUACUCGAAAUUGAUCAGUCUAAUAAAAGAAGUAGAUCAAAGAGAUUUUUUUUUUUUAAAUAGAAUGAAUAUAUCCGUAAAUUGAGCUUAUUUUUAUUGCAAA
RNAcentral lists this unclassified non-coding RNA (292 nucleotides) under Hevea brasiliensis (rubber tree). The record is from RNAcentral. Lineage: Eukaryota; Viridiplantae; Streptophyta; Magnoliopsida; Malpighiales; Euphorbiaceae.